RNAcentral lists this ribosomal RNA (745 nucleotides) under uncultured fungus. RNAcentral describes it as "eukaryotic LSU rRNA". It matches the Rfam family "Eukaryotic large subunit ribosomal RNA", at positions 38 to 633 of the family's 3401-position model. Lineage: Eukaryota; Fungi. The record is from RNAcentral.
GCAUAUCAAUAAGCGGAGGAAAAGAAAAUAACAAUGAUUCCCCUAGUAACUGCGAGUGAAGAGGGACAAGCUCAAAUUUUAAAUCUGUCGGGUUCUACCUGACCGAGUUGUAAUUUGAAGAGGCGUUUUCUGUGUUUCUGAUCAGUCCAAGUCCUUUGGGAUAAGGCAUCACGGAGGGUGAGAAUCCCGUUCGGUUGAUCAGAUUCGCUUUAUGAUACGUCAUCAAAGAGUCAAGUUGUUUGGGAUUGCAGCUUAAAAUGGGAGGUAAAUUUCUCCUAAGGCUAAAUAACGGCGAGAGACCGAUAGCGAACAAGUACCGUGAGGGAAAGAUGAAAAGAACUUUGAAAAGAGAGUUAAAUAGUACGUGAAAUUGUUGAAAGGGAAACGAUUGAAGCCAGUCGUACCUGCGGGUAAUCAGCCUUUUGGGCAUGAUUCUGUGGAGCGUGAGGAGUUAAACGCCUUCAUGCCUGCAUAUUCGUGUACUUUGGGUGUACUUGCCUGUGUGGUUAGUUAACAUCAAUUUUGGUUAUCAUAAAAUGGCUGGAGGAAUGUAGCUUCGAUUUCGAUUGAAGUGUUAUAGCCUUCGGCAGAUGUGAUGAUCGGGAUUGAGGAUUGCAACGGAUACCCUUCGGGGCUACCUGUCUGAUCUCUGAUCGUUGCUCUGGUGCCGAAAGCGUGCUUACGGUUAUCAAAGUCGAUGGUUAAUAGGUUAGAACGGGUUAAAUUCGUUAAGGAUGUUGACGUA